Molecule: ribosomal RNA, 396 nt
Filed under: uncultured bacterium
Lineage: Bacteria
Description: partial 16S ribosomal RNA
Rfam family: Bacterial small subunit ribosomal RNA
Source: RNAcentral
AUACGUAGGGAGCGAGCGUUGUCCGGAAUUACUGGGUGUAAAGGGAGCGUAGGCGGGCGUGCAAGUCCGAUGUGAAAUACAUGGGCUCAACCCAUGGGCUGCAUUUGAAACUGCAUUUCUUGAGUGAAGUAGAGGUAAGCGGAAUUCCUGGUGUAGCGGUGAAAUGCGUAGAUAUCAGGAGGAACACCGGUGGCGAAGGCGGCUUACUGGGCUUUUACUGACGCUGAGGCUCGAAAGCGUGGGGAGCAAACAGGAUUAGAUACCCUGGUAGUCCACGCUGUAAACGAUGAUUACUAGGUGUGGGGGGACUGACCCCUCCCGUGCCGCAGUUAACACAAUAAGUAAUCCACCUGGGGAGUACGGCCGCAAGGUUGAAACUCAAAUGAAUUGGCGGGG